GUUGAGCGCGAAAGUUCCCUUCGGGGAGCGAGUAGAGCGGCGGAAGGGUGCGUAAUACAUGGGUAACGUACCUCCAACUCAGGGAUAGCUCACCGAAAGGCGGGAUAAUACCUGAUGUUGCCACAGUAUCAAAAGAAACAGUGGUGAAAGACAGGGACCUUCGGGCCUGUCGGUUGGAGAGCGGCCCAUGUCCUAUCAGUUUGUUGGUGAGGUAAUGGCUCACCAAGGCUACGACGGGUACCGGGACUGAGAGGUUGACCCGGCACAUUGGGACUGAGACACUGCCCAGACUCCUACGGGAGGCUGCAGCAUCGAAUAUUCCGCAAUGGGCGAAAGCCUGACGGAGCAAUGCCGCGUGUGGGAAGAAGCGCUUCGGCGUGUAAACCACUGUCAGGGAUCACCAAGCAAUGGGGUUUAAUAGACCCCGGCGUUGAGGAGUCCCACAGGAAGCCACGGCUAACUUCGUGCCAGCAGCCGCGGUAAUACGAAGGUGGCAAGCGUUGUUCGGAAUCACUGGGCUUAAAGGGCGCGUAGGCGGUCCUACAAGCGUCGUGUGAAAUCCCUCGGCUCAACCGAGGAAUGGCACGGCGAACUGUAGGACUUGAGGCAAGUAGAGGUGCGUGGAACUCUUGGUGGAGCGGUGAAAUGCGUAGAUAUCAAGAGGAACGCCAGCGGCGAAAGCGGCGCACUGGGCUUGUUCUGACGCUGAGGCGCGAAAGCUAGGGGAGCGAACGGGAUUAGAUACCCUGGUAGUCCACGCCGUAAACGAUGUGAACUAGGGAUAGGGGGUGUUGAUCCCUCCUGUCCCGCAGCUAACGCACUAAGUUCACCGCCUGGGGAGUACGGUCGCAAGAUUAAAACUCAAAGGAAUUGACGGGGGCCCGCACAAGCGGUGGAGUAUGUGGUUUAAUUCGACCCAACGCGAAGAACCUUACCUGGACUUGACAUCCCAAGAAUCUCUUGGAAACAAGAGAGUGCGUCAUUAGAUGAACUUGGUGACAGGUGCUGCAUGGCUGUCGUCAGCUCGUGUCGUGAGAUGUUGGGUUAAGUCCCGCAACGAGCGCAACCCCUGCCUUUAGUUGCCAGCAGUUCGGCUGGGCACUCUAGAGGGACUGCCGGUGUCAAACCGGAGGAAGGUGGGGAUGACGUCAAGUCCUCAUGGCCUUUAUGUCCAGGGCUACACACGUACUACAAUGGUCGGUACAAAGGGCAGCGACUUAGCGAUAAGAAGCUAAUCCCAUAAAACCGGUCUCAGUCCGGAUUGGAGUCUGCAACUCGACUCCAUGAAGUUGGAAUCGCUAGUAAUCGUAGAUCAGCAUGCUACGGUGAAUACGUUCCCGGGCCUUGUACACACCGCCCGUCACACCACGGAAGUCGGUUGUUCCAGAAGUAGUUGAGCCAACCCGCAAGGGAGGCAGGCUACCAAGGAAUGGCUGGUAACUGGGGUGAAGUCGUAACAAGGUA
RNAcentral lists this ribosomal RNA (1464 nucleotides) under metagenome. Its description in RNAcentral is "bacterial SSU rRNA". It matches the Rfam family "Bacterial small subunit ribosomal RNA". The record is from RNAcentral.